GACGAGGGGUCCUAGCGUUGUUCGGAAUUACUGGGCGUAAAGCGCAUGUAGGCGGCUUUUCAAGUCAGAUGUGAAAGCCUCGGGCUCAACCUGAGAAGUGCAUUUGAUACUGUUAAGCUUGAAUAUGGGAGAGGGUAGUAGAAUUCCUGGUGUAGUGGUGAAAUACGUAGAUAUCAGGAGGAAUACCGGUGGCGAAGGCGGCUACCUGGCCCAAUAUUGACGCUGAGAUGCGAAAGCGUGGGGAUCAAACAGG
This 253-nucleotide ribosomal RNA is filed under the name uncultured bacterium. RNAcentral describes it as "partial 16S ribosomal RNA". It matches the Rfam family "Bacterial small subunit ribosomal RNA", at positions 524 to 776 of the family's 1533-position model. The record is from RNAcentral.